AUUGAACGCUGGCGGCAUGCUUUACACAUGCAAGUCGAACGGCAGCGCGGGCUUCGGCCUGGCGGCGAGUGGCGAACGGGUGAGUAAUACAUCGGAACGUGCCCAGUAGUGGGGGAUAGCUCGGCGAAAGCCGGAUUAAUACCGCAUACGACCUGAGGGUGAAAGCGGGGGAUCUUCGGACCUCGCGCUAUUGGAGCGGCCGAUGGCAGAUUAGCUAGUUGGUGGGGUAAAGGCCUACCAAGGCGACGAUCUGUAUCUGGUCUGAGAGGACGACCAGCCACACUGGGACUGAGACACGGCCCAGACUCCUACGGGAGGCAGCAGUGGGGAAUUUUGGACAAUGGGCGAAAGCCUGAUCCAGCAAUGCCGCGUGUGUGAUGAAGGCCUUCGGGUUGUAAAGCACUUUUGGCGGGAACGAAAAGGACUGUGCCAAUACCACGGUUCGAUGACGGUACCCGCAGAAUAAGCACCGGCUAACUACGUG
This 484-nucleotide ribosomal RNA is filed under the name uncultured bacterium. Its description in RNAcentral is "partial 16S ribosomal RNA". It matches the Rfam family "Bacterial small subunit ribosomal RNA", at positions 29 to 507 of the family's 1533-position model. The record is from RNAcentral.